CAAAACGGCCUGAUCUUCUGGUACCAAGUAUUGCUGAUUUCAGUGAUGAUCUAAAAGCAUUAGUUUUGCUCCCAGAACUUUUGCCCAGCCCAAAUUAUGGUAAAGGAAGAGGGAAAAAGAGUAAAGGCAAAACAAGUAUUUUGGCAUCAGGCUGUUAUUUACAAAAAAAAAAAAAAAAAAAAACAUUCCAAAUUCUGCACUUCUAAUAUUUGCUAAUGUAAGUAUUUAUGAGUUUUGUAUGUUUUGCACUUUCAUUUUAAGAGGGCAGAUCAUAUUUAAACGAGCCAUUUUACAACAGUGAAUGUAUUUGGCCUCACGUGGCUAAAAUUCAUGUUCUCAAGCUGCUUUCAACUGUUGUACCCACAGAUGAUGCAUCGUCAUUUAGCUAAUUUUUGUAGAAUUGAAAUGGCAUUGAUUUGAAUGUCACCUACAUACUAGCAAAUAUUUCGAGAGAAUAAGAAGGUUUGUAUUAUGUGUGAUGUCUUUGUAUCAUCUAAAGCAUGACAGUAAUCAUUUCUAUGCAUGUAUCAUAUAGUGA
Molecule: long non-coding RNA, 538 nt
Organism: Stegodyphus dumicola
Lineage: Eukaryota; Metazoa; Arthropoda; Arachnida; Araneae; Eresidae
Source: RefSeq, a predicted model, not a curated record